AUACGGGGGGAGCAAGCGUUGUCCGGAAUUACUGGGCGUAAAGGGCGUGUAGGCGGCUUGAUAAGUUAGAUGUGAAAGCCUUCUGCUUAACGGAAGAAUUGCAUUUGAUACUGUCAGGCUUGAGUUCGAGAGAGGGUAGUGGAAUUCCCAGUGUAGCGGUGAAAUGCGUAGAUAUUGGGAAGAACACCAGUAGCGAAGGCGGCUACCUGGCUCGUAACUGACGCUAAUGCGCGAAAGCGUGGGGAGCAAACAGGAUUAGAAACCCGAGUAGUCC
This 274-nucleotide ribosomal RNA is filed under the name uncultured bacterium. RNAcentral describes it as "partial 16S ribosomal RNA". It matches the Rfam family "Bacterial small subunit ribosomal RNA", at positions 523 to 796 of the family's 1533-position model. The record is from RNAcentral.